GAGAGAGGGGAGGGGGUAGGGGGUGGAAAUUGAUCUAGGGGACCACUUUUAGCCUCCUUUAGCCCAUUUCAGCACCCCUUGGAGGGGCUAAUGGAUUAUGGGGGCCUAAAGUUUAGCCCCUCCAUUUUAGCCCUGGUGUUUGAAGGAGAGGGCUAAAAUCUAGCUAAAAUGGUUUAGCCCCCCCCUCCCAAACACCCCCCGAGGAGCACGAUUUCAAUGAUUGUGCUCUUUGUGUAGGAUCUAGAAGCCACUGACUUCCCAUAAUACUGAGCACCUCCGUCAGGGUGAAGUUCUGGUGUCAAUAGAAGACAAUCAGCCCCUGGAUGGUCCAACUCCAGUUCGAUCUCCACUACGUGCAUUUGAAGCGUGAACUCAACUAGAUGGAAUGAAGUGGCAGUGUCUACUUCAGGGGCCAAAGAGGCAAGUUCAGCUUGAACCAGGUGAAGCUGCAAGCCAGCAAGCACUACUGCGUUCGACACGCAGAAUCAAAGUGCAGGGAAGGUUGGGAAAGUAAAGAGACAUCAAUUCAAACGAUGUGCCUCCUGUACCCGAUGGUGGAAUGCUUGAACUACCGCCCAGGCAAUUAUAUCACAGAAUCGUUUUGGCCUUAGAGACCAAAACACAAAAAGAAAAAAACAAUACUCCCUCCAUUCCAAAUUAUAAGUCAUUCCAAGAAUCUUGGAGAGUCAAAGCAUCUCAAGUUUGACCAAAAUUAUAC
This is a long non-coding RNA of Setaria italica (foxtail millet), 718 nucleotides long. RefSeq lists it as uncharacterized. Lineage: Eukaryota; Viridiplantae; Streptophyta; Magnoliopsida; Poales; Poaceae. The transcript has 3 exons. The record is from RefSeq and is a predicted model, not a curated record.